AGUGAACGCUGGCGGUAGGCCUAACACAUGCAAGUCGAACGGCAGCACAGUAAGAGCUUGCUCUUACGGGUGGCGAGUGGCGGACGGGUGAGGAAUACAUCGGAAUCUACUUUUUCGUGGGGGAUAACGUAGGGAAACUUACGCUAAUACCGCAUACGACCUACGGGUGAAAGCAGGGGAUCUUCGGACCUUGCGCGAUUGAAUGAGCCGAUGUCGGAUUAGCUAGUUGGCGGGGUAAAGGCCCACCAAGGCGACGAUCCGUAGCUGGUCUGAGAGGAGGAUCAGCCAGACUGGAACUGAGACACGGUCCAGACUCCUACGGGAGGCACAAGUGGGGAAUAUAGGACAAUGGGCGCAAGCCUGAUCCAGCCAUCCCGCGUGGGUGAAGAAGGCCUUCGGUUUGUAAAGCCCUUUUGUUGGGAAAGAAAAGCAGGAGGUUAAUACCCCGCUGUUCUGACGGUACCCAAAGAAUAAGCACCGGCUAAAUUCGUG
RNAcentral lists this ribosomal RNA (492 nucleotides) under uncultured bacterium. RNAcentral's name for it is "partial 16S ribosomal RNA". It matches the Rfam family "Bacterial small subunit ribosomal RNA", at positions 29 to 507 of the family's 1533-position model. The record is from RNAcentral.